Molecule: transfer RNA, 71 nt
Filed under: Scytalidium lignicola
Lineage: Eukaryota; Fungi; Ascomycota; Leotiomycetes
Also listed under: 1 other name
Rfam family: tRNA
About the family: Transfer RNA (tRNA) molecules are approximately 80 nucleotides in length.
Source: Rfam by way of RNAcentral
UGCGGAUUGAUGUAAUAGUAACAUAAUUGACUCAUGAUCAAUAUAUAAAGGUGCAAUUCCUUUGUCCGCAC